AGUGAACGCUGGCGGUAUGCCUAACACAUGCAAGUCGAACGGCAGCACGGUAGCUUGCAGCUGGUGGCGAUGGGGGGAGGGGGGAGGAAUAGAUCGGCACAGGUCUUUAAGUUUUCGAUAGGGCUGCGAAAGGCGGACUAAUACUACAAACGAACACGGGAUGAAAGUGGGAGCCCGGGGUCUUCCGCGCUUUAGGGUUUGACGAUGCCGGAUUAGCUAGUUGGCGGGGUAAAGGCCAACCAAGGCGACGAUCAGUAGCUGGUCUGAGAGGACGAGCAGCCACACUGGAACUGAGACACGGCCCAGACUCCUACGGGAGGCAGCAGUGGGGAAUAUUGGACAAUGGGCGCAAGCCUGAUCCAGCCAUACCGCGUGGGUGAAGAAGGCCUUCGGGUUGUAAAGCACUUUUGUUGGGAAAGAAAAGCUUCAGGUUAAUACCCUGCGGUGAUGACGGUACCCAAAGAAUAAGCACCGGCUAACUUCGUG
This 486-nucleotide ribosomal RNA is filed under the name uncultured bacterium. RNAcentral describes it as "partial 16S ribosomal RNA". It matches the Rfam family "Bacterial small subunit ribosomal RNA", at positions 29 to 507 of the family's 1533-position model. The record is from RNAcentral.